This 463-nucleotide ribosomal RNA is filed under the name uncultured bacterium. Its description in RNAcentral is "bacterial SSU rRNA". It matches the Rfam family "Bacterial small subunit ribosomal RNA", at positions 29 to 523 of the family's 1533-position model. The record is from RNAcentral.
AACGAACGCUGGCGGCAGGCCUAACACAUGCAAGUCGAACGAGUAAGAGCCGUAGCAAUACGGAGUUCUGCUAGUGGCGCACGGGUGAGUAACGCGUGGGAACGUGCCUUGGAGUUCGGGAUAACAGUUGGAAACGACUGCUAAUACCGAAUAUUCCCUCAGGGGGAAAGAUUUAUCGCUCCAAGAUCGGCCCGCGUAAGAUUAGGUAGUUGGUGGGGUAAUGGCCUACCAAGCCUACGAUCUUUAGCUGGUCUGAGAGGACGACCAGCCACACUGGAACUGAGACACGGCCCAGACUCCUACGGGAGGCAGCAGUGGGGAAUAUUGGACAAUGGGCGAAAGCCUGAUCCAGCCAUGCCGCGUGAAUGAUGAAGGCCUUAGGGUUGUAAAUUCUUUGCAGGGGAGAUAAUGACGGUACCCUGCGAAUAAGCUCCGGCUAACUUCGUGCCAGCAGCCGCGGUAA